This 372-nucleotide ribosomal RNA is filed under the name uncultured organism. RNAcentral's name for it is "bacterial SSU rRNA". It matches the Rfam family "Bacterial small subunit ribosomal RNA", at positions 526 to 896 of the family's 1533-position model. The record is from RNAcentral.
CGGAGGGUGCGAGCGUUGUCCGGAAUCACUGGGCGUAAAGGGCGCGUAGGCGGCGCGGGUAGUCAUCGGUGAAAGCUCAGGGCUCAACUCUGAGUCGGCCGGUGAUACUCCCGUGCUCGAGCACUGUAGAGGCAGGUGGAAUUCCGGGUGUAGCGGUGGAAUGCGUAGAGAUCCGGAAGAACACCGGUGGCGAAGGCGGCCUGCUGGGCAGUAGCUGACGCUGAUGCGCGACAGCGUGGGGAGCAAACAGGAUUAGAUACCCUGGUAGUCCACGCCGUAAACGAUGGGCACUAGGUGCUUGGGGGAGCGACCCUCUGAGUGCCGGCGCUAACGCAUUAAGUGCCCCGCCUGGGGAGUACGGCCGCAAGGCUG